GACGAACGCUGGCGGCGCGCCUAACACAUGCAAGUCGAACGAGCGAGAGAGAGCUUGCUUUCUUGAGCGAGUGGCGAACGGGUGAGUAACGCGUGAGGAACCUGCCUCAAAGAGGGGGACAACAGUUGGAAACGACUGCUAAUACCGCAUAAGCCCACGGUGCCGCAUGGCACAGAGGGAAAAGGAGCAAUCCGCUUUGAGAUGGCCUCGCGUCCGAUUAGCUAGUUGGUGAGGUAACGGCCCACCAAGGCGACGAUCGGUAGCCGGACUGAGAGGUUGAACAGCCACAUUGGGACUGAGACACGGCCCAGACUCCUACGGGAGGCAGCAGUGGGGAAUAUUGCACAAUGGGGGAAACCCUGAUGCAGCGACGCCGCGUGGAGGAAGAAGGUCUUCGGAUUGUAAACUCCUGUUGUUGGGGAAGAUAAUGACGGUACCCAACAAGGAAGUGACGGCUAACUACGUG
Molecule: ribosomal RNA, 466 nt
Filed under: uncultured bacterium
Lineage: Bacteria
Description: partial 16S ribosomal RNA
Rfam family: Bacterial small subunit ribosomal RNA
Source: RNAcentral